RNAcentral lists this ribosomal RNA (525 nucleotides) under uncultured bacterium. RNAcentral describes it as "bacterial SSU rRNA". It matches the Rfam family "Bacterial small subunit ribosomal RNA", at positions 8 to 526 of the family's 1533-position model. The record is from RNAcentral.
AGAGUUUGAUCAUGGCUCAGAUUGAACGCUGGCGGCAGGCUUAACACAUGCAAGUCGAACGGUAACAUGGGUGCUUGCACCUGAUGACGAGUGGCGGACGGGUGAGUAAUGUAUGGGGAUCUGCCGAAUGGAAUGGGACAACAGUUGGAAACGGUGGCUAAUACCGCAUAAUGUCGCAAGACCAAAGAGGGGGACCUUCGGGCCUCUUGCCAUCGGAUGUGCCCAGAUGGGAUUAGCUUGUUGGUGAGGUAAUGGCUCACCAAGGCGACGAUCCCUAGCUGGUCUGAGAGGAUGACCAGCCACACUGGAACUGAGACACGGUCCAGACUCCUACGGGAGGCAGCAGUGGGGAAUAUUGCACAAUGGGCGCAAGCCUGAUGCAGCCAUGCCGCGUGUAUGAAGAAGGCCUUCGGGUUGUAAAGUACUUUCAGCGGGGAGGAAGGCGAUAAGGUUAAUAACCUUGUCGAUUGACGUUACCCGCAGAAGCAGCACCGGCUAACUCCGUGCCAGCCGCCGCGGUAAUAC